CACGACAAAACGGAAUAAUUACGAUACACACAAUAAUAAUAAUUAUACUUAAUCGGUGGCGGAGACAACUAGGCUACUCGAAGUCUAACGACGAACGUUACCUGUAAUUCGGCAUUUUCCGCGUCCAUGCCAAACCCGAUAGCAACAGCAGCAGCAGGGGAAGAAAGAGUGGGAGAUAGAGGAGAAGCAGCUGCAACGAGAUCGGUGAAUGGAUUUCCGCAGCCGACGCGACUGCAAGGGUGGUCGAUUACGCCGCGACGAGGCGCGUUCAGGAGGUCCGU
Non-coding RNA from Cinara cedri, 281 nucleotides. Lineage: Eukaryota; Metazoa; Arthropoda; Insecta; Hemiptera; Aphididae. The record is from the annotation of a GenBank genome assembly.